ACUCCUGCGGGAGGCAGCAGUGGGGAAUUUUGGACAAUGGGCGAAAGCCUGAUCCAGCAAUGCCGCGUGAGUGAAGAAGGCCUUCGGGUUGUAAAGCUCUUUUGUCAGGGAAGAAACGGUGAAAGCUAAUAUCUUUUGCUAAUGACGGUACCUGAAGAAUAAGCACCGGCUAACUACGUGCCAGCAGCCGCGGUAAUACGUAGGGUGCAAGCGUUAAUCGGAAUUACUGGGCGUAAAGCGUGCGCAGGCGGUUUUGUAAGUCUGAUGUGAAAUCCCCGGGCUCAACCUGGGAAUUGCAUUGGAGACUGCAAGGCUAGAAUCUGGCAGAGGGGGGUAGAAUUCCACGUGUAGCAGUGAAAUGCGUAGAUAUGUGGAGGAACACCGAUGGCGAAGGCAGCCCCCUGGGUCAAGAUUGACGCUCAUGCACGAAAGCGUGGGGAGCAAACAGGAUUAGAAACCCCAGUAGUCCCAU
This 472-nucleotide ribosomal RNA is filed under the name uncultured organism. RNAcentral's name for it is "partial 16S ribosomal RNA". It matches the Rfam family "Bacterial small subunit ribosomal RNA", at positions 335 to 798 of the family's 1533-position model. The record is from RNAcentral.